RNAcentral lists this ribosomal RNA (401 nucleotides) under Acanthamoeba sp. CDHT. RNAcentral's name for it is "SSU rRNA". It matches the Rfam family "Eukaryotic small subunit ribosomal RNA", at positions 768 to 1116 of the family's 1831-position model. Lineage: Eukaryota; Discosea; Longamoebia; Acanthamoebidae. The record is from RNAcentral.
AGAGUGUUCAAAGCAGGCAGAUCCAAUUUUCUGCCACCGAAUACAUUAGCAUGGGAUAAUGGAAUAGGACCCUGUCCUCCUAUUUUCAGUUGGUUUUGGCAGCGCGAGGACUAGGGUAAUGAUUAAUAGGGAUAGUUGGGGGCAUUAAUAUUUAAUUGUCAGAGGUGAAAUUCUUGGAUUUAUGAAAGAUUAACUUCUGCGAAAGCAUCUGCCAAGGAUGUUUUCAUUAAUCAAGAACGAAAGUUAGGGGAUCGAAGACGAUCAGAUACCGUCGUAGUCUUAACCAUAAACGAUGCCGACCAGCGAUUAGGAGACGUUGAAUACAAAACACCACCAUCGGCGCGGUCGUCCUUGGCGUCGGUUUCGGCCGGCGCGGGGGCGGCUUAGCCCGGUGGCACCGG